RNAcentral lists this unclassified non-coding RNA (256 nucleotides) under Hevea brasiliensis (rubber tree). Lineage: Eukaryota; Viridiplantae; Streptophyta; Magnoliopsida; Malpighiales; Euphorbiaceae. The record is from RNAcentral.
GGCGGUUAUGGCUUCUUCCAUUUGGAGAUUAAAAGCUAGGUCGAUAUCAGAGUGUAAGGUUUUGGCAUCGGAAAUUUCGCUGAGCUGCUUGUCAAUAACGGACUCGAAGGAAUCGUCCAUCUCUGCCUGGAGUUUCGGGGGCUAUGCUCGCUUCCGUUUUCUGGUCAUUUCGUCUGGAAUUUUAUAUUUUGAGGAGUCAAGGAGAAGUCGAAUGGGAAGAGCUUGCUGGAGAAGGAGAAUAAUUUGUAUCGACUGG